UCAACUGGUCAACCCAUAUUGGCAGUUACACCUGAUAUCAGUUCUGAUUGGCUCAGUCUCCACCCUCAUUGGUUAGUGCCUGCCAUGGCAGUUGGUAACUGUUUUGCAUAUCAUCCCUGCCCAUUAGAGUGAACAAUAUUAGCAAAGGCACUGAGAAGGAAUAAUCUUGGCCUGUUUAUCGAACGUCUAAAGGGACUAUUCAUUUCCCUGGCUACGAGGAUUUUAAAAAGCAAGAAGAAAUUUAUUGGCAGAUCUGAUCACCCUUAUGAGAGAGCAAUCAAGUAAGACAGCAUGUAGCCCCUGGAAAUUGCUGGAAAUCAUCAUGUGGCCCUAAGGAGUGCCAGCCUAACGAUGAAGCAGAAAGAGGGAUGGCGAGAUGACUGAACUGUUGAGUCAAGUCACAUCCAAAGCCCAUGUGGCCUCUGAUCUUUUCAGAUAAAUGAGUUAUUAAAUAUUUUAUUUAAACGGGUUCCCCAAGAGUGCUUGGUCCUUCACUUGCUUACCCAAAGUCAACACUAGGUUCAGGCAUUUUCUAAAGCACUUUCCUAUCUUAGAAUUUCAAUUCCUGAACUUAUUAGACAAUUGUUCAUCAUCUGCUUCAAGUGCCAAGAAGUUGUUGCCUCAGGGUGGCCUCCCUCUACGAGUCUCAUUAU
RNAcentral lists this long non-coding RNA (653 nucleotides) under Homo sapiens (human). Its description in RNAcentral is "non-protein coding lnc-FAM50B-1:4". The record is from RNAcentral. Lineage: Eukaryota; Metazoa; Chordata; Mammalia; Primates; Hominidae.